RNAcentral lists this ribosomal RNA (516 nucleotides) under Triticum aestivum (bread wheat). RNAcentral describes it as "partial small subunit ribosomal RNA". The record is from RNAcentral. Lineage: Eukaryota; Viridiplantae; Streptophyta; Magnoliopsida; Poales; Poaceae.
AUGUUAGGUCUCCUUAGUUCCAAAUAUGGUUUUACAGGUUCUAAAAUUAUUUCUUUGAUGCGAGGUGCCAUGCUGUGGAUAACAAGGAGAUUAUCAAGGCGGAGCGGCGGUGAGUAUGGAGCUCAUAAUCAUCAGUUCAUCACCAUGAAGCAGAAGGAAUGGUAUAGCUUUGCCAUGCUGGACUUUGGCAGCCGCUGCUCCUCGGCAAUCAACAGGAGGUACAGCCGCUGCCACCACUCCUUCGCAGCGACGCAGGCCAGCGACGAGGAGGCUCGCAAUGGUGGGGGACACAUCACCAUCUUCCAGAGAGGAGAAAGGCAUACCUACCCCUUAACGAUUGAAAUGCAGGUCCAGGGAAAACAUCUGGUCCUCACAUCACAACACCCGGGCAAGUCUGGCAAGGCUUGCUCGCCAUGGCCUACCACAUCGGCGAGACGGAUCGAGCACGUGAUCACCAUCAGCAGGUCUUUCGUCACAACACCCGAGCUAGCGAGAUGUUCAGACAAAGUUAUAUGA